RNAcentral lists this ribosomal RNA (255 nucleotides) under uncultured bacterium. Its description in RNAcentral is "partial 16S ribosomal RNA". It matches the Rfam family "Bacterial small subunit ribosomal RNA", at positions 524 to 776 of the family's 1533-position model. The record is from RNAcentral.
GACGAACCGUGCGAACGUUAUUCGGAAUCACUGGGCUUAAAGCGCGUGUAGGUGGGGCGGCACGUCGGCCGUUGAAAGCCCCCGGCUUAACCGGGGAAACGGCGCCGAUACGACCGCCCUCGAGGGACGUAGGGGGGAGCUGGAACUUCCGGUGGAGCGGUGAAAUGCGUUGAGAUCGGAAGGAACGCCCGUGGCGAAAGCGAGCUCCUGGACGUUUUCUGACACUGAGACGCGAAAGCCAGGGGAGCGAACGGG